CCAGCGCCGAGCCGCCCUCCUCCAGCAGCUCGUCCCGCGGCGCCGCCGGGGGCUGCUGGGGGGACCGCCGCCGCUUCCCCCUCCUCCGCCGCAGGGCCAGCAGCGCGUACUGCACCAGGUUUUCGGAGAAGGAAAUACAUGCGGGAAAACUGCUUUUGAUGACAGCGCUGUGAAAUACCACAAGCAUUCCUGCCAGUGUACGUUCAAGCUCUGAACUCUGGUUCACCUCAGUUUUAGAUGAAAGAGACACUCUGUUGAUGUCACCUUGCUUCCACUAAAUUCUAUUUGAACCACUGAUUGAGGAGGAAGCAGAACGUGAGCACUGCUUAAGAACUUACCACUUUCUACAGCAGUUGGUUUCCUUGUAUUUUCCAAUAAAACAUUUGCAGGGGCACUUACUAAAACAAAGAGUCAUUAUUUCAGUAAUGUAAAAACUAUCAUUUACUUUCAGCAAAUGCAUCAAAAGAAGCUCUUCUGUAAACAAAAUUCUCAUCCCACAGACACAAUGGUAUGCACAAUAACAUCACAUUUUGCCAAGAGAUUCCAGUAGAAAACACAGUAAUUCCAAAGAAAGAAAGUGUAAGUUUAUUGGACGCCAACAUUUCUUAGUCAAGUUCUAAGUAAAGAAAACAUACAGUAGAAAAAGUUGUACAAAGCAGCAAUGGAUUUACAUUGCAUUAAAGAAAAAGUUACCCUAAGCUAUUAAGUCUCUGUCCUAAAAAAGUAAAAACCCAUUCUUAAUUACAAUCCAAUACUGGUGUAUCGAAUUGAUAUACAACAACUGUAAGGUAUACAGGAUUAAAAAAACAGCUUCUUUUGCCUUACCUCUAUAACACUUUAAAACGACAA
Long non-coding RNA from Tympanuchus pallidicinctus (lesser prairie-chicken), 849 nucleotides. RefSeq lists it as uncharacterized. Lineage: Eukaryota; Metazoa; Chordata; Aves; Galliformes; Phasianidae. The record is from RefSeq and is a predicted model, not a curated record. The transcript is spliced from 2 exons.